AUGCCGAAGAAGAAGCCACGGUUGGAGCUCAUGCCGGCGGAGAUUGCAUGGCUCGACAUAGAAUCGGCCAAGAGAAGGGCCGCUGUCGAGGACAAAGAGACCAUCAUCGCCAAGGCCAGACAGGCAGCGACGAUGCACACCCUCGUCAUGCUUGGGUUGUGCCAGCCCGUGCCUGCCAUUCUCUCUGCCACCGCCAUGGCCGCGGAGAUGAGCGGUUUUCAUCCGGAGUGGCAGCAUGCUUUGACCCGGUUGUCCACGUCGCCGAACGGCAGCGUGAUCGCGUCGGGCACUCCUGGCCCCAUGAAGCAACUGCAGUGGACUCCUAUAGCCAACCUUCCCGGCGCCCGCAACCUGUUCGUCGAAACACCAAACCCGACGUCGUUUACCAAUGACCCUGAAUACAACGCGUUCAUAGAGAACAUCAUCUACGAGUGUCCUGGCCAGGCCUUCCACCCCGACAACGAAGGCUAUGAUCCCGACGAGACCCAAAGCCAAGACGGUUGCGACCAAGAUGGUGCUGACCACUAUGGUGUCCAUGACAAAGAAGAGGGCGACGACCAUGGUAACUCAUGGCAUGAAGACAUCUAUUGUGAAGAGGAAGAAGAAGUGGGCGUCGACAUUGAGAAGUUUCUGCCCUAUGAGUUCGCGAGCACCCGUUACAUCAACUCAAUCCAAAAGAGACGAGGGUUUAUUCAACAAGAAUACAACAAGUCUUGUGAUGCGCUUGAGAGCGUUGAAACCCAUCCUGUUAGUGGCCUAGGAGUGGGUGACUUGGGACGAGAGGAAGCACCAAGAAAAGGAGGAGCAAAUGAAUAUAUAGUUGAAGCUCCAAAUGAAGAAGCUCGUCAUGAAGGAGGCCGCAAGAGGAAGAAGCUCGACAUAGAGGAGGCCGUCCAAACGAAGAAGCUCAUGAUCGAGGCCACCAAUGCUGAUAGAAAAGCAAAAGAGGUGGCUCUAGCAAUCAAGAUCAUGGACUUGACCAACAUGUCCCCUAAGAGAAGAGGUUGGUUUGAGAAGCGGCAAAAGGAGAUGUUCGACCAAGAUGCUGGCAAGCAUGCCGGCCGCUGGCUUUGUCGCCGGAGUGAAAACUCGGAGGUUGAUCAUUUUAAAACUGGGGCAAAAGUUUUGAUAGCAAAGGAAGAUAAGUUUCUCUUGUGCACUUUGGCCCAUCGUGAACAGUGCAGCCCAGCCCAACUUGCUCCCUCCAUCGUCCUCCCUGUUCAAUGUGCACGCUGGAAGCCGGCUGUGCGUCCAUGUCGCGGAUCCGCCGUGUGGCGGCCAUCCAGACCACCCCGGCACCCUACAAGGUCGCCGUCGACCCCUCUGGCCAAACCCGAGAUCCCAAAUCCCCUUUCCCCUCUCGGUUUCUUCCUCCCCUUGCAAACUCGAGAGCUUCAUGGCCUCGUCGCCGUCAAACCCGUGGCCACCGAGGCCCAUUCGCCGCUCCACCGUCUCCUGGAGCUCCGCCGCGUCCGUCUACGUCGACUACGUCCCUGGAUCGAACAAGAUCAGUCACACAUCAUCACCUUCGUCCGUCUUCAUCAACUUCGGCCACCGCCGUCACCGGGUCGGAUUCGCCCCACCAGACCCCCCCCCGAGCCCGCUGCCACCUCCCUACAGCUCCCUGUGAGCCCCUCCUCUGUUUCCCCCUUCUCCUCUGCUCCCGUCGCCUUAGACGUCGUGUUCCGCCGCCGCCCGAUCUCGUGCAAGCCCACGCUCACCGCCCCUCUGGCCGACCUGGGCACGCUCCCUACGCCACCCAUACGUGCCCGCGCAGCCCCUCUAGCUGUCGAAGCUGAUGUUGCUGCUGCCCUGCGCCGCCCACUCUUCUGCUGCUCGCCGCUGCUCCUUUAUCGCGGCCCCAACACGCCUAACUGUGGCCCGGGCUCGGCCUCCGCCCCGUCCACCACCCCGCGCUGCGUCGCUCGCUGCCAAGCGUCGUGUCGCCCCGUCCUGCUCCCCGCGGCCGCUGCCUGCUGCUUCUACUCUGCUCCGCUGCCCCGUGUCGUGCUCUCCUCCCAUAACCUCGACGCGGCCGCACUGCUCCUGCCACUGCUCGUUGUCGUGGCCACCGCCCGCUACAGCGUGGCCCCAUGGCCGCACCCGCCAUCACGCGCCCGCAAGCCCCGCGUGGCUGCCUGCUUCUGUCACCAUCGCGCCCGCAUGCCCUUGUCGCCCCGCCGCUCCCGACGUCGUCGCCCGCAGUCGUCGCCCCCGCCGUUGCCCAGCCCCGCGCCUCCCCUCACACUAGCCCUGCAGCCCAGCCCAACUUGCUCCCUCCAUCGUCCUCCUUGUUCACCGUGCGUGCUGGACACCGGCUGUGCGUCCAUGUCGCGGAUCCGCUGCAUGGCGGCCAUCCAGACCAACCCGGCACCCUACAAGGUCGUCGUCGACCCCUCUGGCCAAACCCUAGAUCCCAAAUCCCCUUUCCCCUCUUGGUUUCUUCCUCCCCUUGCAAACUCGAGAGCUUCAUGGCCUCGUCGUCGUCAAACCCGUGGCCACCGAGGCCCAUUCGCCGCUCCACCAUCUCCUGGAGCUCCGCCGUGUCCGUCUAUGUCGACUACAUCCCUGGAUCGAACGAGAUCAGUCGCACAUCAUCGCCUUCGUCCGUCUUCAUCAACUCCGGCCACCGCCGUCGCCGCGUCGGAUUCGCCCCACCGGACCCCCUUUGAGCCCCCUGCCACCUUCCUACAACUCCCUGUGAUCCCCUCCUCCGUUUCCCCCUUCUCCUUUGCUCCCGUCGUCGUAGACGUCGUGUUCCACCACCGCCCGAUCUCGUGCAAGCCCGCGCUCACGGCACCUCUGGCUGACCUGGGUGUGCUCCCUACGCCACCCACGUGUGCCCGCACAGCCCCUCCAGCUGCCGAAGCUACUGUUGAUGCUGCCCUGCGCCGCCCACUCCUGUACGCUGCUGCAGUCGUUGUGCUGCUAUCCGCUGCUCUGCCGGUUGCGCUCGUCGCGCCCCGGGGCCACCCAGCUACUGCUCGCUGCUGCUCCUUUAUCAUGACCCAGGCUCGGCCUCCGCCCCGUCCACCACCCCAUGUUGCGUCGCCCGCUGCCAAGCGCCGCGCCGCCCCGUCCUGCUCCCCGUGGCCGCCGCCUGCUCCUUCUGCUCUACUCCGCUGCCCCGCGCCGCGCUCUCCUCCCUUAACCCCACCACGACCGUGCUGCUCCUACUGCUACUCGAUGCCGUGGUCGCCGCCCGCUGCACCGUGGCACCACCACCGCACCAUGGACGCAUUCGCCAUCGCGCGCCCGCAAGCCCCGCGCGGCUGCCUGCUUCUGGCACCACCGUGCCCGCAUGCCCUGGCCACCCCGCCGCUCCCUACAAACCCCUCCCCGUCGUCAUCCACGUCGGCACCCGAGCCAGGCGCCGCGUUGCCCUUCGAACGCGCCUCGCCGCCGCAAUCGACAGCCACUUGGGCGAGCUCCCACGAUGUCACCCGAAACUGCAUCACCCUCCACCUCGACCGCCUCCUCGUCGACCUCGCGUCCUCAUCCUCUUCCCCGCCGGCCGCCAGCAAGCCUCGGCGCCCUCUCUCCCCAUCAACGCUGGUGAGGCCCCGGGCCUCUUCCCUUCUCUGCCUCACGCCUCGCUCACGGUCACCGCACGCUAGACCGCCCACGUGCGCGCCCGCGGUGAGCACGUGCUCACCACGCCCUGCGCGUCGUGCUCCCCGCGACCGAGUCGUCCUCGGCGUGCGCCACCUCCCCGUACCGCCCGCGACGUCCGCUCCUCCCGUUUGCCGCUCCGGCUGCCGGCGCCUCGCAGCACUCUGUCGGGCGUCCGCAACGCCCGCUGCGCCCAUUUGGGCCUUGCCCGUACCCGCGUGCCCGUUAGGCCCCAGGGGCCACAGACAUCUGGGCCCCCCUAGUGCCACUGACCGACUGGGCCCACACCCAUAUCCGCGUCGCCCCAUCCACUCUCUCGCCCGAACCACACGCCGCACCGAUCCCGCACCCGCACAGCCCAUCGGCGACCUUGUCGGAGAAGAGAGAAGAAGCUGGGCUCCUCCGCCGACCCGCGCCAAGUUCCUCGAGGAGUUCGCGCGGCGGUUCGACCUCCUCGGGCUGGUCCGAUUCGGGACGGAGGUAGUGAGCGUCUGCCGUAGCAGGGCCGACGACGUGGGAUGGAGGGUGAGGCUCGCCUGCGCUAGCAGCGAGCUGGAGGAGGAGGAGGGCGUCGACGUCUUUGACAACAUCUGGAACAACGCAUGCACGCACGCGCCGCCUUCUUUCCUCUCCCCAACCCCCACGCUAGAUUCUCAUGAUUUUGUGCGAUUUUUGGGGCAGGUCUAUGACACCGAGAAUGCAAACCAGAAGGAGAAGUUCGAGGCGGACCUCAAGAAGGAGAUCAAGAAGCUGCAGCACUACUAG
RNAcentral lists this ribosomal RNA (4377 nucleotides) under Triticum aestivum (bread wheat). RNAcentral's name for it is "partial small subunit ribosomal RNA". Lineage: Eukaryota; Viridiplantae; Streptophyta; Magnoliopsida; Poales; Poaceae. The record is from RNAcentral.